Long non-coding RNA from Gambusia affinis (western mosquitofish), 843 nucleotides. RefSeq lists it as uncharacterized. The record is from RefSeq and is a predicted model, not a curated record. Lineage: Eukaryota; Metazoa; Chordata; Actinopteri; Cyprinodontiformes; Poeciliidae. The transcript is spliced from 4 exons.
UUUGUGACUCCAAACUGUGAUUUUGCAGUUAAUUUUUGUUCUUUUGUUUUUUUAGGAGCACUUUUAUGAUGCAGCAAGCAGCACUGGAUACAUUUCAUGGCGUCUUAAAACGGUCCUAAGGAAGAUUCAAAGAGGAUCUCUUGUGCCACUAAGUAGCACCAAUUACACUUCAUCUGGAGCCCCAAAUAUACAGAGAACUGUGAUUGCUGAAAAACAACUUGAUGGGAAUGCCUGUCAGGAGGCCAUAUCUCUGCUUAACCACACCAAAGACAGGUCUGUGAUCUUUCAGAAGAUGAGAGAGACUUUUGAGCACCAUCACAAGCUUAUUAAAGAACCCAGUGGAAAAAAAUGAUAUUCUGACAACGUUCCAGAGGUUCCUGGACACAAAAGGAUUGAUUGAUCAAGACUUCAGUCUUCUGUUCAGUGAAGAAACCUCAUCCAGACUGCUGCAGAAGUGGGAUGUGAUCUUCAAACCAAAUGUCAUCAAGGAGGCUAAGCGUUUAACUUCUACACCUGAGUUGAGAAGUUUGGUGCAGUCAGUGGAAAGUCUUCAAAGCGAUGACCUCUCUAACACAUCUAGCUAUGACCAAGAAAUGGCGUCGCUGUUACUUCUCUUACAUCUCCUUCAACCGCAACCAGGCGGACAGAAGUCUCCAAAAAUCAGUGCAAGUGAUGCAGUUGAGAGACUUGUUGUCUUUCAUAAGUCAUGCUGCAGUUUAGAGGAGCAUCUCCAGGGUCAACGGGGUCUGCAGCCAUUCCUCCUUGAUGUUGGGCAUCAGAACAUUUCACUUAAAGAUGAAGAUGUGGUCAACAAAGAAAUGCUUCAAAUGAUUUCAUCAGGAG